Molecule: non-coding RNA, 2519 nt
Organism: Physcomitrium patens
Lineage: Eukaryota; Viridiplantae; Streptophyta; Bryopsida; Funariales; Funariaceae
Source: RefSeq, a predicted model, not a curated record
CUAGCAGAUGCAUCAACAGCUGUGACGACGGGGCCCAACGAACACCGCUGUCUUGACUUAUUGCGACGGAAAAAGAAAGAUUCCUGGAACGCAUCAGUCGCGAGCAAUUAUCUGAACUCGAUGCUGGAAAGAAAGUCUGGGCUUAUCUUGAACGGCUGGAGUGGACAACAAAGGCACGCGAUGAAGAAUCAUACCAACGAGCUAAGCAAGUUAUUGAUGCAAGGUCGGACUAAAUCCAUGUGAAUCUGAAGAAGUACUUCAGGAAAGGUUUGUGGCAGGGGUCGGUUUCACUAUGGACGGCCGCUGGGCGACAACUGCCGCUAAACACGCCUCAUUGAUCACGGUUGCGGGAUUUGGGUCAUGAGAGGAUCCAUUACAAGAUUCGUAUGAAGUUGGAUAAUUCGGGCGAGAGCCUUUUCACAGGAGGGGCACGCUGGCAGCAUGCCACAUAUUUUCCUGAAAGAGUGUUUCUUGGAAGUGGGUGAAUGGAAAGUGUGCCGCAAUCAUGAGCUCGUUUAAUGUCGAUGGAUUGGUGGCGGGAAGAUCGAGCUGGUGUUCUACAUGACAUGAUUCGUGCAACUACCCCAUUACCCUAGUUUGCGGUUUGCUGUUCCGUUCGCAGACAGAUCAUUUCUUCUUAGAGGAACUGGUAAACAUCCAACAAUAGCACGGCUUUCGUUUUAGUCCACUGCCGAGCUUCCAGUUGAUCCCUUGCAGGAUGGAUUCUAAGAUUAUCUUCAAUAAUUUUGUUGACCGAUUACCUUUUUCGGCGGAACCUCUGAAGGUGCUGCCUGUUUGUUUAGUUGCUAGAAGGUUUCGGCUCCUUCAGUGAGAUUUGACGUUUGGCAAGCCCGAUGGUGCAGGUUUUCUCGUGAGAUGGGUCGAAGAUCGCCAUUUUUUUUUAAUUUUUUAUUCUUUUUUGUCUUUCUUGGAGGUCCCAGCAGAUGUGAGAUUGAGCUCUGUGAUCUGAUAUCUCCUUGAACUAUUCAGUUUGCUGUGAGAAUCAGUGAUGCCUCAGCCAUCUGGCUUUCCAAAUCCGGAGACAUGGUCACCUCGCUUAACCCAAACGCCAUGACCACGUUUCGCGUCCUGUGGGAUAGUGGAAAGAGUGGUUCGGGUUGCGGAGGAUGCUCUGCUACUGUAAGCUGCAUCGUUGAAUGUCUCUUCAGAAAUAGCUUCACUGAGUACCUGCGAAAUCGUUCAACUUCGCAUGCUGGGGAGGGAGAUGGAUCGUGCAGAAAGAGCUGGAGAAAUGCUUACAAUGGUAAGUGAUAACUGGACCUGCUGGAAAGUGUUCUAUGUUCACAUGAUUGGUGGGGGUUUAUGGUUGAGAAGAUAUCGUCGGUGAGAUAGCUCUAUUUUGAUUAUAUAAUAAUAUCUCCUCCAUUUAAUUGCUAAAUUGCGAGCGCGGAGGAUGUGGGUUUUCAAGAAGUAAAUGGACAUCCUGCGUCGUGUGAAUAUCUUUAACCCUCGCUGUUACCGAUCACGGCGCAUACUCAAUAUUGCUUCCCCAUAUUAAUGCUCGUUGACAGCCUAUUUAGAAUAAAAUAGCACUUGUCAAUCUGCCGCUAGAAGUACUGGACCAGAUGCCUCAUCGAUUGCUGUUCAAAUUUCUCAUUGUUAGUCCAGCUCUUCAACAGGGAUUCAAUCGCAGCAUUGUAGAAGGUUUAUUGCUGCAAGCUAAUGACUUUCCACCCCCAGAACGGCACCAGCACCGUCUGCCUGGACUUGCUCUGUGGAAGUUGCAACAUCUCCGACAUUGAUUCCAACCUCUUGACAUGAGAUUGCUGUCCAAUAAUCCAACAUGAUGAAAGGGACACGGGCUUGUCUGAGGCAACCAACGUCAGAUUGGUCCUUUUUUAAGGAUAAUAUCCACCGCCUUCCUACAUCUCCUUCAUAGUUGCAUCAAAGUUGGCAGUAAUUUAUUCUCGAUUGCUAAGAGUCGGAAGAUAUGUCAGCAGGGAAAGAUCCGUCGAAGAGGAUACCAGGCUUGCAAUGAAGAUGUUCAGUGUCGUUGAAGAUUUCAUUUACAUUAGAAUACGCAAUUUGGGAAUAGAUCGAUGGUACCAAUCAUCUGGGAAUCCAACGACACAAUCUUGGAAUCUGUCCGCUUGGUGCGCAAGGUCGUCUAUCGGCACUUCCGUCGUCCCAGGGGUGAUAGCUGCUCCUCCAUUGUCUCAGACUAACUUGAGCUUCCAAACCAGUAUUAUUUCAACCGCAAAUACCACGAAGAAAUUCUGUCUGAGCUGGCCUCUAUUACACCCUGCUGGUGAAGUUCCUGAGAGCAAUAGCGUUUUGAAAUGUUGCAAGAUUUCUCCGAAAUCGCAAUUCGACUCUCUACUAAACACAAUUUACACAAAGAAGUAAAAGGAUAACUUAGACGACCUAAUGCAACAAUGUAUGAAAUCUGAGUGACUGAAUCUUGUGUAACUUUUUGCAGCAGUAAGUCCAGUUAAAGAAUGCCACAUAAUAAUUGAUGGCAUAUCUAUUUCAUGAAAUAAGACAUUUCUUAAAGCUUA